RNAcentral lists this ribosomal RNA (465 nucleotides) under uncultured bacterium. RNAcentral's name for it is "partial 16S ribosomal RNA". It matches the Rfam family "Bacterial small subunit ribosomal RNA", at positions 338 to 795 of the family's 1533-position model. The record is from RNAcentral.
CCUACGGGUGGCAGCAGUAGGGAAUUUUCGUCCAUGGGCGCAAGCCUGAACCAGCGAUGCCGCGUGAGUGAAGACAGCCUUCGGGUCGUAAAGCUCUGUUGCGGGGGAAAAAAGGCAGCAACAGGAAAUCGUUGCUGACUGAUGGUGUACCGCCAGAAAGUCACGGCUAACUACGUGCCAGCAGCCGCGGUAAUACGUAGGUUGCGAGCGUUAUCCGGAGUGAGUGGGCGUAAAGGGAGCGCAGGUGGUCCUGUAAGUCAGGAGUGAAACGGAUGAGCUCAACUCUUGCAUGGCUUUGGAAACUGGAAGACUGGAGAGCAGGAGAGGGAGGUGGAACUCCAGGUGUAGCGGUAAAAUGCGUAGAUAUAUGGAAGAACCCCGGUGGCGAAGGCAGCCGACUAGCCUGUUGCUGACGCUGAGGCACGAAAGCGUGGGGAGCAAAUAGGAUUAGAUACCCGGGUAGUC